This 1553-nucleotide ribosomal RNA is filed under the name Escherichia coli. RNAcentral describes it as "partial 23S ribosomal RNA". It matches the Rfam family "Bacterial large subunit ribosomal RNA", at positions 1291 to 2834 of the family's 2925-position model. The record is from RNAcentral. Lineage: Bacteria; Pseudomonadati; Pseudomonadota; Gammaproteobacteria; Enterobacterales; Enterobacteriaceae.
CGAAUGCUGACAUAAGUAACGAUAAAGCGGGUGAAAAGCCCGCUCGCCGGAAGACCAAGGGUUCCUGUCCAACGUUAAUCGGGGCAGGGUGAGUCGACCCCUAAGGCGAGGCCGAAAGGCGUAGUCGAUGGGAAACAGGUUAAUAUUCCUGUACUUGGUGUUACUGCGAAGGGGGGACGGAGAAGGCUAUGUUGGCCGGGCGACGGUUGUCCCGGUUUAAGCGUGUAGGCUGGUUUUCCAGGCAAAUCCGGAAAAUCAAGGCUGAGGCGUGAUGACGAGGCACUACGGUGCUGAAGCAACAAAUGCCCUGCUUCCAGGAAAAGCCUCUAAGCAUCAGGUAACAUCAAAUCGUACCCCAAACCGACACAGGUGGUCAGGUAGAGAAUACCAAGGCGCUUGAGAGAACUCGGGUGAAGGAACUAGGCAAAAUGGUGCCGUAACUUCGGGAGAAGGCACGCUGAUAUGUAGGUGAAGUCCCUCGCGGAUGGAGCUGAAAUCAGUCGAAGAUACCAGCUGGCUGCAACUGUUUAUUAAAAACACAGCACUGUGCAAACACGAAAGUGGACGUAUACGGUGUGACGCCUGCCCGGUGCCGGAAGGUUAAUUGAUGGGGUCAGCGCAAGCGAAGCUCUUGAUCGAAGCCCCGGUAAACGGCGGCCGUAACUAUAACGGUCCUAAGGUAGCGAAAUUCCUUGUCGGGUAAGUUCCGACCUGCACGAAUGGCGUAAUGAUGGCCAGGCUGUCUCCACCCGAGACUCAGUGAAAUUGAACUCGCUGUGAAGAUGCAGUGUACCCGCGGCAAGACGGAAAGACCCCGUGAACCUUUACUAUAGCUUGACACUGAACAUUGAGCCUUGAUGUGUAGGAUAGGUGGGAGGCUUUGAAGUGUGGACGCCAGUCUGCAUGGAGCCGACCUUGAAAUACCACCCUUUAAUGUUUGAUGUUCUAACGUGGACCCGUGAUCCGGGUUGCGGACAGUGUCUGGUGGGUAGUUUGACUGGGGCGGUCUCCUCCUAAAGAGUAACGGAGGAGCACGAAGGUUGGCUAAUCCUGGUCGGACAUCAGGAGGUUAGUGCAAUGGCAUAAGCCAGCUUGACUGCGAGCGUGACGGCGCGAGCAGGUGCGAAAGCAGGUCAUAGUGAUCCGGUGGUUCUGAAUGGAAGGGCCAUCGCUCAACGGAUAAAAGGUACUCCGGGGAUAACAGGCUGAUACCGCCCAAGAGUUCAUAUCGACGGCGGUGUUUGGCACCUCGAUGUCGGCUCAUCACAUCCUGGGGCUGAAGUAGGUCCCAAGGGUAUGGCUGUUCGCCAUUUAAAGUGGUACGCGAGCUGGGUUUAGAACGUCGUGAGACAGUUCGGUCCCUAUCUGCCGUGGGCGCUGGAGAACUGAGGGGGGCUGCUCCUAGUACGAGAGGACCGGAGUGGACGCAUCACUGGUGUUCGGGUUGUCAUGCCAAUGGCACUGCCCGGUAGCUAAAUGCGGAAGAGAUAAGUGCUGAAAGCAUCUAAGCACGAAACUUGCCCCGAGAUGAGUUCUCCCUGACCCUUUAAGGG